GGAAGGGAUACGUCUCCCGGUGGGGCGGCCGGACUUCAAAUCCGGUAAGGGCUGCAAUGCGGUCCUUCGUGGGUUCGACUCCCACUCUCUUCCGCCA
RNAcentral lists this transfer RNA (97 nucleotides) under Betaproteobacteria bacterium. RNAcentral describes it as "tRNA-Sec". It matches the Rfam family "Selenocysteine transfer RNA". Lineage: Bacteria; Pseudomonadati; Pseudomonadota; Betaproteobacteria. The record is from RNAcentral.